Trifolium pratense (red clover) is the source of this 8045-nucleotide long non-coding RNA. RefSeq lists it as uncharacterized. NCBI's taxonomy places the organism in Eukaryota, Viridiplantae, Streptophyta, Magnoliopsida, Fabales, Fabaceae. The transcript has 7 exons. The record is from RefSeq and is a predicted model, not a curated record.
AACGUUCUAUAUUUUCAAUUUUCAAUUUCAUUCCAAAGCUUCUGAAAAACCUCGUGACUCCGAUAACGAGAAGCAGGAAGAGGAGCGUAACCGAUGAGAGAAGACAAUGUGAAAGGAAACGGUACAACACACAUCAGAAGACCAGAGAGGUAAACCACCGGAAGAAAAGUAUCGGAGACUCCGCCGUGUAAUAAUACCUGCCGACAGAUGAAUCCUGGCCGGUUUUGCGAUUUUUGAUACGGCUCCAGAUAAGUUGAAUUCAACUUUGAACAUGUCUUUCUUGAUUUUGAUUUCUUUGAUUAUAAAUUUUGAUUUUUCAUGUUUCUUGAUUUUUUGAUCCGUUGUGAAAGGUUGGUUUUAGGGUUUGCUUCUAUUUCUUUGUUUCCUUUUCACUGAUCGUCUGUUAUAAAUGUAAUGAUAUGCUUUUCUCAGAUUGUAGAUAUCAAGAAUUUUACACAAUCACACUUUUUAUAUUUUUAUGGUUUGAAUCGUUGCUUCAAAAAUAGGGUUUUUCAUUCUCAUUCUCUCAUUACUAUUCAUCCAUUCUACAAUCACAGAAGAGAACAACACUCUUUGAUUCUACCACCAAGAAUCAAUCAUACAAAAAAUCAACAACAACAAGAGUUUUGCAAUGGCUUCAAGAAUUGUUCCUCAACAACAACACAAAGGAAACAGGUGAAGGAAGGAACCAAAGAGCACUUCUUGAUUGAGGAAGUCAAGCCAAAUCGCCCUGUCACAAGGAGUUUUUGUGCACAACUACUUGCCAAUGCAGAAACAAGCUUGUGCCAAUGGAGAUUCGAUCCUCUCCUUCACUAUUCUCUCCACUUCAGGGACUUGGUUUGGAGAACUUUUCUACUCUUCUUUCUUUAUUCAUAGCUUUUUUUACAACUAUUUUUCUCAACCUUGUUAACCUUUCUGUUUGAAGUGGAGAAAUUAAAGAUGAUUGCCUCUGUGCUGGGAUUAAUUUGGCAAUGUGAAUUUAUAUUUGAACACCUCUGCACACGUACACACACACUUCUCGAUUAUUCUUUGCAAGCUUGGACAAGAUAACGGUAAAUCAUCCUUAGGAUAUAAUUGGUCUUUUUAUUUUUUUUAUUUUUUUUAUUUUUGUUAUUAUAUGCAUAUGUAUUUGUUCCCAAAUAAUUGUUCUUUGAUCAUGGUUUUGUUUGGCAAUGUGAAUUAAAGAUGAUUGCCUCUAUGCUGGGAUUAAUUUGGCAAUGUGAAUUUAUAAAGGGAAGCGUGUACGUUGUCGCACUCCCUGCCUUCAAAAGGUGCCUAGGUUAUUCUUUGAAGCUUGGACGAGAUUAUCAGAUAACAGUGAAUCAUCCUUGGGAUAUAAUUGGGGAGAGAGCCUAUAAAUGUAUGGUUUACUGUGGAACCCAUGGCAGCCCGAGGUUCAAAUACUUAGCUUGGGAUUUUGGAUAGUGUCAGAGUUUACUCUGUAUAUGUAUCAGGAAUGCAAGUACGAGGGAAGCAAGGAUGAGGAAUUCCCUACAACUUAGUUUGGCACAAGAAUCCGCGCUUUCAUUUUGGGGAGAGAGCUAUGAAUGUACAGUGGGAUUUGGAAGCUCUGAGCCUUUGGAUUCAACGGGUUAUUUCUUUCCUUGAGUGUUGUUUGUUAUGAAAUAGGGUGUCAUAGUAUAAUGUGGCAGUGCUUGUAUUUAUUUUUGUUUAGAAUUAUGAAAUCGAAUAUUAGCAUUGCAUUGCUUUCUUGGAUAAUAAAGAUAUAAGUCAAAUUUCUUCAAUGAGUUGCUCUUUACUAUUUUUUAGUUUUGGGCUUUGUUCAUAAUUGAAUUUAAUUGUAAAUCUACUUCUCUGCGGCAUGGUUUCCCAAAAUAAUGUUUUUCAUGAGUUUUGAUUUGGUUAUCUCUUGUAAAUUAUUUUCGUUUCGUUAUUUCUUUAUUGAUUCUGAGAGCAUAUAGGUCUUGAUUAGUUAUUUUCUCUUUGGUUCUGCAAGAGAGGUAAUCCAUAAACACAAGGCAUGGUUUUAUUUGUUUCCAAAUAGUCCUUCUUUGAUUCAUGUAAUGGCAAAGAUAAAGAUAUAAGUCUGGAUGAAAAUUUGGUCAACUCUUCUAAGAAUCUUUACAUUUCAGUCUUUUUUGAUACUCAAUAUAUACUUUUGAGUUUUCUUUGUGGGUGUUACAGGGGAGAGAGCCUAUAAAUGUAUGGUUUACUGUGGAACCCAUGGCAGCCUGAGGUUCAAAUACUUAGCUUGGGAUUUUGGAUAGUGUCAGAGUUUACUCUGUAUAUGUAUCAGGAAUGCAAGUACGAGUGAAGCAAGGAUGAGGAAUUCCCUACAACUUAGUUUGGCACAAGAAUCCACGCUUUCAUUUUGGUUAUCUCUACUCUGACUGAAUUCUUCACGUUUCUUUGUAUUUUUAGAAGAUCUGGUUUUUUAUAUUACAAGGACCUGUUUUGCUUUGGUGUUACAGGGGAGAGAGCUAUGAAUGUACCGUGGGAUUUGGAAGCUUUGAGCCUUUGGAUUCAUCGGGUUAUUUCUUUCCUUGAGUGUUGUUUGUUAUGAAAUAGGGUGUCAUAGUAUAAUGUGGCAGUGCUUAUAUUUAUUUUUAUUUAGAAUUAUGAAAUCUAAUAUUAUUAGCAUUGCAUUUCUUUCUUGGAUAAUAAAGAUAUAAGUCAAAUUUCUUCAAUGAGUUGCUCUUUACUAUUUUUUAGUUUUGGGCUUUGUUCAUAAUUGAAUUUAAUUGUAAAUCUACUUCUCUGCGGCAUGGUUUCCCAAAAUAAUGUUUUUCAUGAGUUUUGAUUUGGUUAUCUCUUGUAAAUUAUUUUCGUUUCGUUAUUUCUUCAUCGAUUCUGAGAGCAUAUAGUUCUUGAUUAGUUAUUUUCUCUUUGGUUCUGCAAGAGAGGUAAUCCAUAAACACAAUUCCUUUUGGUUCUAUCUUCCUCUUGUUUGAUUACAUUGGCUCCUGAUGUUGAGGUUGGAUUUGGUUCUUUGCUGGAACUUUCGGUUCAUAUUUUAAUGAUCUGCUCUUCCAUUUCUCGUUUGUUCAUGAUAUUUUAAAGCAUAUAUUUUCAUGAUAUUUUAUUUCCUCUGGUGUUGCAGGGACGAUAAUACAUUUCUUUCUCAUGUUUGAUCUUCUCGUUUUGUAUUCUGAUUCUUUAUUUUUAGUCUUUUGAUUGAGGUUUGAUUUGGUUCUGACUUUGAUAUAUGUUAACCGAAAAACGACAUUUCUAUAAUGCAUUAUGUUUUGAAACAAUAACAUUUGAUUAGUAUCAAGCCUCGGGUUUAUUUUGGUACCUCUACUUUGAAUGCGAAUUAUUUUCGUAUCUUUUUUUAUCUGGCCGGUUCUUGUUGUCCAGUCUUCUGGAUUUGCUCCUCUUUAAUUUACCAUUACUACUUAUUCUUUCUUAUUAAUGUUGAAAACUAUACAUGAUUUAAGAUUUUUUGUUUUGUUUUUGUUUUCGUGUUUUUGGAGAGCUUGGUGGGCCUAUCUUUGUUAUGCUGAUUUGUGACUUGGUUUGAAGAACUAUGGUACUAUUCUUUCUUCUUGGUUCUUUUUCUAGAAUCUGUUUGUUACAGCCUAAUUUUAAUUUUCUUGCGGUGUUAACAGAGUAAGAUUUACACGGGUUUGGUUUACCACAAAAGUUUCCUACUUUUUCAAACACUGAACCUUUUUAAUCACCGUCUUAAGUGUCUUAUGUGGACGAAUCAACCUUACAUGUGAACAUAUUGUUAUGCUGAUUUGUGACUUGGUUUGAAGAACUAUGGUACUAUUCUUUCUUCUUGGUUCUUUUUCUAGAAUCUGUUUGUUACAGCCUAAUUUUAAUUUUCUUGCGGUGUUAACAGAGUAAGAUUUACACGGGUUUGGUAUACCACAAAAGUUUCAUACUUUUUCAAACACUGAACCUUUUUAAUCACCGUCUUAAGUGUCUUAUGUGGACGAAUCAACCUUACAUGUGAACUAUAAUGUUCAGUUGGUUGUGUUACAUAUUUUUUCUAGGCUUUAAUUUGGUGAUCUGUACUCAUAUUUGAAUUCUUCACAUUUCAUAAUAGUUGUUUCAGCAUCCACACCUGAUUCCUUUGUGAAAGCUCAUGGUGAGGUUAUCAUAUUCUUCCAGUGUUGACGUUUUUGUGAGUUUCUGUAACGUUUUACUCAGUGGUUUAACAUACAAAAUUCUGGAGUAACUCUUCCCUUCCCAAGGUAAGGAUUUUUGACAACUUGGUUAGGUGGUGUUUGUUAUGAUGACCUGUUUCAUUGGCCAACAAAUUCCUCUGGUAUAGUUCAUGAUUGAGCACACCAUGAUAUUAAAUUGAUAGUGAGGAUAUGAUGUUGGUCUAUAAUAAAUUCUUUUUGUUUCCAUCUUUAGCAAUUCUUUUUGGUCUAUAGUAAAUUGAUAGUUCAUGAUUUCAUUGAUAUUGGAAACAUUGUCACUCUAAAAGGUGUUGAAGUCAAGCCAAAUCGCACUGUCACAAGGUUCUUUCCCUAUCUCUCUCACAUUCUCUCUGAUUUUGUGAUUUUCUCUCUGAUUUUGAGAUUCCCUCUCUGAUUCCCUAUUGAUUUUGAUGAUUCUUUUUGGAGGUUUUGUGCACAACUACUUGCCAAUGCUCAAGCAGCAGCAGUUAAUGCGAAUAACAAGAAACAAGCUUGUGCCAAUGAAGAUUGGAUCCUCUCCUUCACUAUCCUCUCCACUUCAGGGACUUGGUUUGGAGAACUUUGCUACUCUUCUUUCUUUAUUCAUAGCUUUUCUUAAAACUAUUUUCUUCAACCUUGUUAACCUUUCUGUCUUAAGUGGAGAUGUUCAAUUCUUUUCGUUUCAUUAUUUCUUUUAUCGAUCCCGAGAGCAUAUAUUUUAUUGAUUAGUUAUUUUCUCUUUGGUUCUGCGAGAGAGGUAAUCGAUAAACACAAUUCCUUUUGGUUCUAUCUUCCUCUUGAUGUUGAGGUUUGAUUUGGUUCUUCUUGCUGGUUUCGAUCUUGGAAUUUUCUGUUCAUAUUUUAAUGAUCUGCAGCUACUAAUGAAUCGUUUGGGUUUUAAUUGAUUUCUCUUCCAAUUCUCCUUUGAUCAUGUGCACGUUUUGAUAUAAUUUGUUACAUGAUAAAUGUGCUUAUUGCUUUUAAAAUUAUAAAGAAUAUUAAGAUAUUCGUUUAUUCAUUUUGUAGUCAUCCGAUUUCUGAUUUCUGGAUAUCAGGAAAAAUUUGCAAUUCUUGAUCAUAAUGGAUACGAAUGAUAAUUGCUACAGAUUCAUAGAUAAAAUUUCUUCAUUGAAUCGUUCUUUAUUAUUUUUGUUUGAGUUUUGAUCGUAAGUCGGAAAUUGAAUUGUGAACCUGUUUUUUGCAGUGUGGUUCAUCAAAAUAAUGAUCUUCUUUCUCAUGUUUGAUCUUCCCGUUUUGUAUUCCGAUUCUUUUUUUUUUUAGUCUUUUGAUUGAGGUUUGAUUUGGUUCUGACUUUGAUACAUGUUAAUCGAAAAAUUGUAUUAGGACUCCUCUGUAUUAGGUGGAAGCCAAAAUUGUAUUAUUUAAUAUGGCACAUGAUCUUGCAAAUUUGAUGGAAAUAUGUGUACUCUUUUUUAUAUAAUUGUUCAUUCAAUAAAUUUGCUAUCGCUCGAACCUGUUCCGAAGUCAGUUUUGGAUUCGGUUGGUGUUCCGACAUCCCGAAUCGAGGUGGCUCUAAAUUCAGGUUUACCUACCUCUCUAGUUAAAGAGAGAAGAUAGGGUUUCGAAAUCAGAUUUCCUCUCCUAAGUGCUUGAUGGUUCCAGACUCCUAAUCUUGGUUGGCUGUCAUUUCUAGAGGAGUUGGACUGCUUUCCAAUGAUAGUAUCCAACAAGGUCGCCAAUGACCAGUACAACAACUGAAAGCCAGGGUAUCUUACCCUAAAAGGCAGAGUUGGAAUACUUAAUUCAAAUCCAAUAGUAGUUAAAAUAAAAUGAAUAUCUGAUAUUCGUUGAUCCAAUUUUGCAGUGAGCUUAUUUCUAAUUUUUUAUAUCUGGAACAAUUUGCAAUUCUCGGUGAUAAUGGCUACAGAUACAUAGAUCAAAUUUAUUUGAUGAGUAAUUCUUUAUUAUUUUUACUUUUGAGCUUUGAAUGUAAGACAAAAAUUGAAUUUUGUGUACUUGUUCUUAUGCAGUGUGAUUUUCUCAAAAUAAUGAUGUUCUUUUAUGAGUCAUUCUUUAUUAUUUUUAUUUUUGAGCUUUGAAUGUAAGACAGAAAUUGAAUUUUGUGUACCUGUCCUUAUGCAGUGUGGUUUUGUCAAAAUAAUGAUGUUCUUUCAUCAUAGCAUGGAGCCUUGGGUUUUGGUUUGCAUAUCUCAUUCUAAAGCAUGUUUUGUUGAUAUUUUAGGUCAUCUGGUGUUAUAAUUUUCUUUCUCUUGUUUGAUCUUCAGAUUUUGUAUUCUGGUUCUUUUUUCUGGUCUUUUGAUUUUGAGGUUUGAUUUGGUUCUGGGUUUGAUACAUGUUAAUUGAAAAAUGACGUUGUUUUCUACAGUGCAACGUGUUUUGGAACAAUAAUAUUUGAGUAGUAUCAAGCCUCAGGUUUAUGUUGGUACCUCUACUUGUAAUGUGAAAUAUUUUCAUUUCAUUUUUUAUCUGCUGAUUCUUAUUGUCUAGUCUUCUGGAUUUUCUCCUGUAUGAUUUACCAUUAAUAACUUAUUUUUUCUUUUGAAUGUUCACAUACUUCCCGUUCAGCCUAUAAUGUGUGGCUUUCUGGGAUCCAGUGGCAGGAAGAGGUUCACAUACUUUCUGCUCAGCCUUGGGAUAGUGUUGGAGCAUGACUGUGAAGCAUUUAAGAUUCCAGAGUAAAUCUCUUUGCCAUCCCUAAGGAUGAGGAAUUAUUGACAAGCUUGGUUUGACUCUUCUUUUACUCAUCAAGAUUUUGUUUUGUAUAAUUUUUUGAUAUAACACUUUGUUUGAUAAUCGAGAGAUGCAUUUAUCAAAGUUUGAUAUAACACUUUGCAGCGGGCUAAAAAGUUUCGAUGUCCAAAAUGACUUGAUAAAAUGGACAAGGGCGGAGAAUGAUUCAAUAUAGAUAAAUUAAACUUCUUUAAUAUGAUUCGUUCUUUACUAUUUUUUUUAUUUUUUGGCUUUGAUUUUAAGAAGUGCAAAUUGAAUUUUGAACAUGUUUGUCUAGUUUGAUUUUGUGAUCUCUAUUAAAUUCUUUUCGUUUUAAAAAAUUCUUCUAUUAUAUAUUCCUCUUGUUUUGAUCUUCGCGUUCUGUAUUCUUAUUCAUUUUUGGUUGAUAAUUUGGUAUUUUGGUUGGUUUCGUUCUUGGAGUUUGCUGGUUUUAUUUUAAUGAUUUGAUAUUAUUAUCGAGUUCAAUAUGGUUUUAAUUGAAUUGUUCUUGGAGUUUGCUGGUUUUAUUUUAAUGAUUUGAUAUUAUUAUCGAGUUCAAUAUGGUUUUAAUUGAAUUGUUCUUCUAAUUCCACUUAUGCUUCAAAUAUUAUUCUCCGUGUACAGAUGGGUGUUACCCCAUCACACUGAAAUCAUGUGAAGGUGAUGAAUUCUUCACGUUCCUACAUCAAAGAAAUUUUACCCCAUCCCCUACACAUGAUUCACACUGAAAUCUUUCAACAUCGUGUCUACCUAAAUCUUCUUUUAUCAUGUCUACAUAACCUUGGUAGACAGAUGAAAUUUAAGUGAUAGGAGAAACUGGGGGGUAAUUUACCAAAGAAAUCUCUUUCUUUUGAUAAUAUUUUCGGAUCUUUGUAACAUGCAGAAGGUAUAUGUGAGUAAAUAUUUUUGACUGCUAGACAUUUGAUAGUUUCAAAUCAGUGCAUAUCAACUUUCAACAACCAUGCUUAAUGUUGUUUCCAUAUUGUUUUUUUUUUUUAAUUAAAUAAGUUAAUGAUGGUUGCAUAUGAUCUAUAUAUCCAGGAUAUGUUCAAAACAGAGAAAUAAAACUAAAAAAGUUAGCAAUCCUUGCAAGCCCCUCAAUGAUCUGCUUGUUUACUCCAAGCAGUGCAUUAUUGUCCAAUAUGAUUUUAUAUCCCACUAUAAAGGAUUUGGUAGAAAGGUAAACAGAGAAAGUGAUUGAUUGUAAAAUUGAUAUAUUAAUACACUAAAUCAUGUUUUCCAAUUUUCGUUUUUAUAUUCCAA